UGCGGUGUCAUGGUGCAAAGGUUUAGCACACACUCCCGGAAAGAGUAGGAUCUGGGUUCAAAUCCCUGCUGAUGCAA
Molecule: non-coding RNA, 77 nt
Organism: Parelaphostrongylus tenuis
Lineage: Eukaryota; Metazoa; Nematoda; Chromadorea; Rhabditida; Metastrongylidae
Source: the annotation of a GenBank genome assembly